Vicia faba (fava bean) is the source of this 522-nucleotide non-coding RNA. NCBI's taxonomy places the organism in Eukaryota, Viridiplantae, Streptophyta, Magnoliopsida, Fabales, Fabaceae. The record is from the annotation of a GenBank genome assembly.
GCCAAGUUGUGUUCAUGUUUGGAUCCAUAUUACACAUACAUAUUGUCUAAAAAAUUAAUACAAACAUCAAGUUCAACUUACAACACAUAUUACAUUACAUCAAGAUUCAGCUACACCCAUUUCAAAAAUCCAACGUCAAUUGUCAUUGCUCAUGAGGAAAUCUAUACAAGAAUCCAUUUCCAAGUCAAGAUCCAUUAUACCAUUAGAAUUGCAAGGAAAAUAUGGUUUAGACUAAACUCAUAUAGACUCCUAAGACAUGUUUCUCACAUGAAUCUCAAGUUCUUCAUGUAUUCCAGGUUGCCUUCCUAUGCUCUAGUACAUGUGCAACCUCAAGCUGCAAGCCAUCUCCAUUUCUCCAUUCAUCUUCCGCGGAUCAGGUUUAUUUCACAACUUCAAAGCAUGUCAAACCAUAUGCACCCUUUGUUAAAAAUCCUGUCCAUAAAUCUGUAUAAUCAGGAAAAAAACAAGUUAUUGACCACAAGCAAAAUAACACCUCAACACAUCAUAACAAAAUUUCUGUGA